GACGAACGCUGGCGGCGUGCUUAACACAUGCAAGUCGAGCGGUAAGGCCCUUUCGGGGGUACACGAGCGGCGAACGGGUGAGUAACACGUGGGUGACCUGCCCUCAGCUCUGGGAUAAGCCUGGGAAACCGGGUCUAAUACCGGAUAUGACUCCAUGACGCAUGUUGUGGGGUGGAAAGCCUUGUGCGGCUGAGGAUGGGCCCGCGGCCUAUCAGCUUGUUGGUGGGGUGAUGGCCUACCAAGGCGACGACGGUAGCCGGCCUGAGAGGCGACCGGCCACACUGGGACUGAGACACGGCCCAGACUCCUACGGGAGGCAGCAGUGGGGAAUCUUGCGCAAUGGGCGAAAGCCUGACGCAGCGACGCCGCGUGAGGGAUGACGGCCUGG
RNAcentral lists this ribosomal RNA (388 nucleotides) under uncultured bacterium. RNAcentral's name for it is "bacterial SSU rRNA". It matches the Rfam family "Bacterial small subunit ribosomal RNA", at positions 28 to 419 of the family's 1533-position model. The record is from RNAcentral.